RNAcentral lists this transfer RNA (75 nucleotides) under Candidatus Pelagibacterales bacterium. RNAcentral's name for it is "tRNA-Val". It matches the Rfam family "tRNA". From Rfam's summary of the family: Transfer RNA (tRNA) molecules are approximately 80 nucleotides in length. Their secondary structure includes four short double-helical elements and three loops (D, anti-codon, and T loops). RNAcentral also lists the same sequence under 1 other name. Lineage: Bacteria; Pseudomonadati; Pseudomonadota; Alphaproteobacteria; Candidatus Pelagibacterales. The record is from RNAcentral.
GGGACUGUAGCUCAAUAGUAGAGUACCUCGUUGACAUCGAGGGGGUAGUAGGAGCGUAACCUACCAGUCCCACCA